UAGGGAAUAUUGCGCAAUGGGCGAAAGCCUGACGCAGCGACACCGUGUGUAGGAUGAAGAUUUUCGGAUUGUAAACUACUGUCGGUUGAAGAAGAAGGCAUGAUAGUUAAGAGCUUGAAUGCUGACGGUAUUCAACGAGGAAGUCUCGGCUAACUCCGUGCCAGCAGCCGCGGUAAGACGGAGGAGGCAAGCAUUGUCCGGAAUUAUUGGGCGUAAAGAACACGUAGGCGGUUUUUCAAGUCAAAUGUGAAAACCUUGGGCUUAACUUGAGGAUUGCAUUUGAAACUGAAAAGCUAGAGUACAGUAGAGGAAAGUGGAAUUCCUGGUGUAGCGGUGAAAUGCGCAGAUAUCAGGAAGAACACCAGUGGCGAAAGCGGCUUUCUGGACUGUUACUGACGCUGAGGUGUGAAAUCUAGGGGAGCGAACAGG
RNAcentral lists this ribosomal RNA (429 nucleotides) under uncultured bacterium. RNAcentral describes it as "bacterial SSU rRNA". It matches the Rfam family "Bacterial small subunit ribosomal RNA", at positions 355 to 776 of the family's 1533-position model. The record is from RNAcentral.